AAUGACGGUACCUGAGGAAUAAGCAUCGGCUAACUCCGUGCCAGCAGCCGCGGUAAUACGGAGGAUGCAAGCGUUAUCCGGAAUGAUUGGGCGUAAAGAGUCCGUAGGUGGCAUUGAAAGUCUGCUGUUAAAGAGUCUAGCUCAACUAGAUAAGAGCAGUGGAAACUACAAAGCUAGAGUUUGGUCGGGGCAGAAGGAAUUCCUGGUGUAGCGGUGAAAUGCGUAGAUAUCAGGAAGAACACCGGUGGCGAAGGCGUUCUGCUAGGCCGAGACUGACACUGAGGGACGAAAGCUAGGGGAGCGAAUGGGAUUAGNAC
RNAcentral lists this ribosomal RNA (317 nucleotides) under Dolichospermum circinale ANA335-C. RNAcentral's name for it is "bacterial SSU rRNA". It matches the Rfam family "Bacterial small subunit ribosomal RNA", at positions 468 to 784 of the family's 1533-position model. The record is from RNAcentral. Lineage: Bacteria; Bacillati; Cyanobacteriota; Cyanophyceae; Nostocales; Aphanizomenonaceae.